This 881-nucleotide ribosomal RNA is filed under the name Mucor sp. BRO-2013. RNAcentral's name for it is "eukaryotic LSU rRNA". The stretch from base 292 to 444 matches the Rfam family "5.8S ribosomal RNA". The record is from RNAcentral. Lineage: Eukaryota; Fungi; Mucoromycota; Mucoromycetes; Mucorales; Mucoraceae.
AGAACUAUGGCAAACUAGGCUAUUUAGAGGAAGUAAAAGUCGUAACAAGGUUUCCGUAGGUGAACCUGCGGAAGGAUCAUUAAAUAAUCAAUAAUUUUGGCUUGUCCAUCAUUAUCUAUUUACUGUGAACUGUAUUAUUACUUGACGCUUGAGGGAUGUUCCAAUGCUAUAAGGAUAGGCACUGGAAAUGUUAACCGAGUCAUAAUCAAGCUUAGGCUUGGUAUCCUAUUAUUAUUUACCAAAAGAAUUCAGAAUUAAUAUUGUAACAUAGACGUAAAAAAUCUAUAAAACAACUUUUAACAACGGAUCUCUUGGUUCUCGCAUCGAUGAAGAACGUAGCAAAGUGCGAUAACUAGUGUGAAUUGCAUAUUCAGUGAAUCAUCGAGUCUUUGAACGCAACUUGCGCUCAUUGGUAUUCCAAUGAGCACGCCUGUUUCAGUAUCAAAACAAACCCUCUAUCCAACUUUUUUGUUGAAUAGGAUGACUGAGAGUCUCUUGAUCUAUUCUGAUCUUGAACCUCUUGAAAUGUACAAAGGCCUGAUCUUGUUUGAAUGCCUGAACUUUUUUUUAAUAUAAAGAGAAGCUCUUGCGAUAAAACUGUGCUGGGGCCUCCCAAAUAACACAUCUUUAAAUUUGAUCUGAAAUCAGGUGGGAUUACCCGCUGAACUUAAGCAUAUCAAUAAGCGGAGGAAAAGAAAAUAACAAUGAUUUCCCUAGUAACGGCGAGUGAAGAGGAAAGAGCUCAAAGUUGGAAACUGUUUGGCUUAGCUAAACCGUAUUGUAAACUGUAGAAACACCUCCUGGCACACCAGAGUAAUAAGUCGGAAGGCACUUUUCAUCCCUGCCCUGAUAGAGUCGAGUUGUUGGGAAUGCACUGGUCG